RNAcentral lists this ribosomal RNA (253 nucleotides) under uncultured bacterium. RNAcentral describes it as "partial 16S ribosomal RNA". It matches the Rfam family "Archaeal small subunit ribosomal RNA", at positions 474 to 727 of the family's 1478-position model. The record is from RNAcentral.
UACCAGCACCCCGAGUGGUCGGGACGAUUAUUGGGCCUAAAGCAUCCGUAGCCAGUUUUACAAGUCCUCCGUUAAAUCCAGCUGCUUAACAGAUGGGCUGCGGAGGAUACUAUAAGACUAGGAGGCAGGAGAGGCAAGCGGUACUCAGUGGGUAGGGGUAAAAUCCGUUGAUCCAUUGAAGACCACCAGUGGCGAAGGCGGCUUGCCAGAACGCACUCGACGGUGAGGGAUGAAAGCUGGGGGAGCAAACCGG